GACGAACGCUGGCGGCGUGCUUAACACAUGCAAGUCGAACGGAAAGGCCCUGCUUGCAGGGUACUCGAGUGGCGAACGGGUGAGUAACACGUGGGUGAUCUGCCCUGCACUUCGGGAUAAGCUUGGGAAACUGGGUCUAAUACCGGAUAGGGGCCAUCUUUAGUGUGGUGGUUGGAAAGUUUUUUCGGUGUAGGAUGAGCUCGCGGCCUAUCAGCUUGUUGGUGGGGUAAUGGCCUACCAAGGCGGCGACGGGUAGCCGGCCUGAGAGGGUGUACGGCCACAUUGGGACUGAGAUACGGCCCAGACUCCUACGGGAGGCAGCAGUGGGGAAUAUUGCACAAUGGGCGCAAGCCUGAUGCAGCGACGCCGCGUGGGGGAUGAAGGCCUUCGGGUUGUAAACUCCUUUCGCUAGGGACGAAGCUUUUUUGUGACGGUACCUAGAGAAGAAGCACCGGCUAACUACGUG
RNAcentral lists this ribosomal RNA (466 nucleotides) under uncultured bacterium. RNAcentral's name for it is "partial 16S ribosomal RNA". It matches the Rfam family "Bacterial small subunit ribosomal RNA", at positions 28 to 507 of the family's 1533-position model. The record is from RNAcentral.